CACGUAGGCGGAUUGCUAAGUCAGGGGUGAAAUCCUGGAGCUCAACUCCAGAACUGCCUUUGAUACUGGUGAUCUUGAGUCCGGGAGAGGUGAGUGGAACUGCGAGUGUAGAGGUGAAAUUCGUAGAUAUUCGCAAGAACACCAGUGGCGAAGGCGGCUCACUGGCCCGGUACUGACGCUGAGGUGCGAAAGCGUGGGAGCAAACA
This 206-nucleotide ribosomal RNA is filed under the name uncultured bacterium. RNAcentral describes it as "partial 16S ribosomal RNA". It matches the Rfam family "Bacterial small subunit ribosomal RNA", at positions 568 to 774 of the family's 1533-position model. The record is from RNAcentral.